UUUUUUCAAAACACUCACAAUCAUGCAAAACCACUACCACACAGACAAACUCCUUCAGACGCACACCGCAUCCGCUCAACUUACACCGCCACGAAACGUCAUGCAAAUCUCAGAUCCGAAACACCUUUUCCGAUUACAAACCACUCACAAAGGGUCGCAGACUAUCGUGCUCCACCGUCGAAGAACCUGACGAAACUCCGAUCUGUAUCAGUUGCGCCGCUGCUCAAAUCCAUGCGCAACCGUCGGUCGUUUCCCGUCGUCGCUGUUCAGAGCUCAGCCACCGCGCCUCUGUCAGAAUCCAUCGCGCCAACACACAGCUCCAACACACCGUCACAGAACCGUCGAUCCACACAAGGCCUAUUUCUGGAACUGUCUGAUCCCACGGUUAGCUGCCACCGGUAA
This is a non-coding RNA of Vicia faba (fava bean), 402 nucleotides long. NCBI's taxonomy places the organism in Eukaryota, Viridiplantae, Streptophyta, Magnoliopsida, Fabales, Fabaceae. The record is from the annotation of a GenBank genome assembly.